UGUUUUGUUACAUAGUGUUGCACCUGAUACUAAGAAAAUUACAAAGCAACAAAUCUGCCACAAAAAGUUAUAUUACAAAUACAAGAUAAUUCAAAAUAAAUUAAUACUGUGUUAUAAAAUAAAAUGGCAUUAAUAACCCAAUUGCAUCCAGUACCGCAUUCCCAUCAUGCAACUAGAUAUCAAAGAUAGCAACUAUAAUGAAAUAAUUGAGAAACAAGAAACAUUUGUGAACAAGAUCUUCAAGCCUUGACCACUGGAAGAAAGAACUUAAAAACACCCGGCUAGCUACAACAAACACCAAAAAAGUGUCAAAGCGAAAAUUAAAUUAGCACCAGUAGCAGCAACACCAAACAGAUGGAUACACUAAGGCCUCCCCUAAAAGGAAAAAAGCCUUAAGCCUUCACCUAAAAAACCAGAAAACCAGAAACUAAUACACAUGAGAAGAGUUAGAGAAAAAACCACAUAAACUAUAUGAGUGUGAUUCUGUUCCCAAAUCCUAGCUCCUUUUAUACUUGAUCACUUUUCUAAUUAUACGCAGUCAAAUAAAUCAGCUGAUAACAAGAAGUGAAUGAUAUUUCUUUAAGAUCGUC
This 590-nucleotide long non-coding RNA is filed under the name Trifolium pratense (red clover). RNAcentral's name for it is "long non-coding RNA (TPRA_LNC010264)". The record is from RNAcentral. Lineage: Eukaryota; Viridiplantae; Streptophyta; Magnoliopsida; Fabales; Fabaceae.